CAAAAUCGUCAUCCCAAAAUCGUCGGUCUUCAUUCACCACUCAUGUAUGAGCGGAAUCAAAUUGCUUCAGUGUCAGUUUUGGAACCGGUGGUGAUGGCGUCGAUUUGGAAACUUGAUGGUGAAUAACAUUUUUCACAUCAUCGCACCCUCUAUCCCCUACAUCUUGGAACAAACUCCUUAUUGGCGGUUUCUAUGAGCGCCCAAUCAACACCCUCCCAUCUUAGUACACGAGAGGGAAGACGAAGGCCCGAGUGUGGAUGUUGAUGAAGGCACUCAAGUUCUGAAAGUCGAUCCUCUACUCCAAGCUUCUGCUUCAGUGCUCUUCAUCUUCUUCUCCAAUUAAACUCCUAAGCAUCAAUU
Molecule: unclassified non-coding RNA, 360 nt
Filed under: Hevea brasiliensis (rubber tree)
Lineage: Eukaryota; Viridiplantae; Streptophyta; Magnoliopsida; Malpighiales; Euphorbiaceae
Source: RNAcentral